ACAGCCAUAUUACGUUGAACUGUCAGUUCCCAUAUGAUCACUUAAGUUAAGCAAUGUCAAACCUGGUCAGUACUUAGAUAGGUGACCACUUGGGGAUAUCAGGUGCUGUAA
Acanthosepion pharaonis is the source of this 111-nucleotide non-coding RNA. The record is from the annotation of a GenBank genome assembly. NCBI's taxonomy places the organism in Eukaryota, Metazoa, Mollusca, Cephalopoda, Sepiida, Sepiidae.